This 555-nucleotide ribosomal RNA is filed under the name uncultured fungus. RNAcentral describes it as "eukaryotic LSU rRNA". The stretch from base 118 to 272 matches the Rfam family "5.8S ribosomal RNA". The record is from RNAcentral. Lineage: Eukaryota; Fungi.
CCUNUUGUAGUUCUGUGGUAUUGGGGACUCUGUCCUCUUGCCGUGGUCCUACGUCUUUACACACACACCGUAAUACAGUCUCAUGGAAUGUAUGUCGCGUUUAACGCAAUACAAUACAACUUUCAGCAACGGAUCUCUUGGCUCUCGCAUCGAUGAAGAACGCAGCGAAAUGCGAUAAGUAAUGUGAAUUGCAGAAUUCAGUGAAUCAUCGAAUCUUUGAACGCACCUUGCGCCCUUUGGCUAUUCCGAAGGGCAUGCCUGUUUGAGUAUCAUGAACACCUCAACUCUCAUGGCCUGCCAUGAUGAGCUUGGAUUUUGGGGGUCUUGCCGGCCUAACCGUCGGCUCCUCUCAAACGAAUCAGCUUGCCAGUGUUUGGUGGCAUCACAGGUGUGAUAACUAUCUACNCUUGUGGUUCUCCACCAGGUAACCUUCAGCAAUGGAGGUUCGCUGGAGCUCACAGAGGUCUCCCCUCAGGGAAGACAGCUUUUUGAACGUUUGAUCUCAAAUCAGGUAGGACUACCCGCUGAACUUAAGCAUAUCUNNNNGCGGAGGAA